Molecule: long non-coding RNA, 297 nt
Filed under: Trifolium pratense (red clover)
Lineage: Eukaryota; Viridiplantae; Streptophyta; Magnoliopsida; Fabales; Fabaceae
Description: long non-coding RNA (TPRA_LNC007723)
Source: RNAcentral
AAUUUAAUUCCUGCCUUAGUGAACUCAGCUGAGUUGCACUCUUUCCAAAUUUCUUCCUGAGUUUUACUGAGAGGGGUAUAGUUGCUGAACGUGCUAGGAGGUCCACGGGGUUCCCUAGGCCUUUCGCCUCUUCGUCUUCCUCCUCCUCGGCUGGACUGUUCAGCAUUUGGACGAGGAGCAGGUUGACUGUUUCCUGCUCGCCCAUAACGGGCAGCAUCUGCAGCUUGCUGCUCUUCAUAUUGGAUGUAGGGUUGAGAUUUGAGGAGGAGGUCGCUAAAGGUGCGCGGUUUUUCGAUU